CCGGCACGGGGUGGUGGCGCAGUUGGCUAGCGCGUAGGUCUCAUAGCUAAAGAAAUUUUGUGAGUGAUCCUGAGGUCGAGAGUUCGAGCCUUUCUCACCCCAAC
Molecule: transfer RNA, 104 nt
Filed under: Rosa chinensis
Lineage: Eukaryota; Viridiplantae; Streptophyta; Magnoliopsida; Rosales; Rosaceae
Description: tRNA RchiOBHm_Chr6g0287211
Rfam family: tRNA
About the family: Transfer RNA (tRNA) molecules are approximately 80 nucleotides in length. Their secondary structure includes four short double-helical elements and three loops (D, anti-codon, and T loops). Further hydrogen bonds mediate the characteristic L-shaped molecular structure. tRNAs have two regions of fundamental functional importance: the anti-codon, which is responsible for specific mRNA codon recognition, and the 3' end, to which the tRNAs corresponding amino acid is attached (by aminoacyl-tRNA synthetases). tRNAs cope with the degeneracy of the genetic code in two manners: having more than one tRNA (with a specific anti-codon) for a particular amino acid; and 'wobble' base-pairing, i.e. permitting non-standard base-pairing at the 3rd anti-codon position.
Source: RNAcentral